RNAcentral lists this long non-coding RNA (3861 nucleotides) under Vitis vinifera (wine grape). RNAcentral's name for it is "long non-coding RNA (VVIN_LNC005388)". Lineage: Eukaryota; Viridiplantae; Streptophyta; Magnoliopsida; Vitales; Vitaceae. The record is from RNAcentral.
ACACACAUAAAAGGGAACCUUAAAUUGGAACAAAUUUCACAAUUUUUCACUCAUAUCACAAAAGACCACAGAAUAAGUGAGAUUGAUAGUGAUUAAUAGUUCAACAUACAAGACAAAUUAUUGCACAGAUUAAAGCAAUCAGCCAAUCACCAAUAGAAGCUUUAUAGUACAACACGCAUAGACUUGCUCUGCCCAACAAAGAUGUCUUUGUAAAACUACAACAUCCAAAAUUAAAAGAUAUCCAUAAUUAUAACAAUCAUUAAAAAGAAAUUGUUUACAUCUAAAAAUAUAUCUCUAAUAUCAUCUCAAGAAAAAAAAAAUUCUAAAACACAAAUUAAUCAUCAUCUUCAUCCAUGAUUGUGAGUUGGAGCCGUGAGUCAUGACUUGAAGAACCACCUAGUAAAAAAAAAACCACAACAAAAAUAUAAGUAACUUUACUAAAUAUUUUAACAUAAAACCAUUCAUAAAAUUGAUAAUAUUAUAAAUUGGUUACCUAUCAUUUCUUUCCAUAACCAACUUUGAGCACACAUUAAGGCCUCCAAAGUGUCUAAAUGAAACCUGCUAUGAUAUUUUGAUACCAUCUUACCACUCAUACUAAAUGUCAACUCUGAUGUAAUUGUAGAUACUAGAAUAGCAUAGAUAUCUCGAAUAAUCAUCUACAAUGUCAAAUAUCUUAUACCAUUUGUCUUCCAUCAACUCAAAACAUCAUAAUCUGAAGUCUUUGGUAAAAUAGACUCCUCUAAGUAAUUCUAUAACUCCAACUUCAUAUGACUUUCUCCAAUGGUACUAUGAACAAAUAAUUUAAACCUAGAAAGAGGAUCUUGCUCAUCAUAAUUCAACUCCAAAAGAGUUUAACCUGAUGAAGUACCAUGUGAUGAAGUUUAUUGACCUAACUUAGACUUUGAUUGGCACUCAAAAAGCAACUCAUAACGUAUUUGACAAGCUUUUUCUAUCUCAUUUGAAGCUUCAAACUCAUACAUUAUUUGGAAGUAAAACUCUAAAAUUUUCAUUUUGUAUCUUAGGUCAAAUAUAGUUGCAAUUGUCAUCACAAUAUGACACCCACUCCAAUACUUGUCAAAUUUUUGCAACAUACUUGAAGUCAUCAUUCUCACAACAUCAUUUGAGCAAAUCAACUAAUCAUACAAUGUCUUUUUUAUCUCACACACUUUGAUGAAGAAAGUAUUAGUAGUGGGAUAAUUUCAUCUCACAACAUCAUUUGAGCAAAUCAACUAAUCAUACAAUGUCUUUUUUAUCUCACACACUUUGAUGAAGAAAGUAUUAGUAGUGGGAUAAUUUCAUCAUGAGAACAACUAUGUUAUAUUAUAAACAAUUUCAAUCUUCCACAUAUUUCUUUUGACAUAUUCCAUUCUUCCUCUAAUGGCACAAAUAUGUAGUGUUUCUCACAUUGCUUUAAAUGUGGGAAUACGUCUUCAUAUGUUAUAGUUAUUGAUAACAUCAAGUAUAUAUGUAAAAUUCCAUCAUGUUUUUCAAUCAAGACUUAACUUCUUAUUACAUGGAAUAUGCAAUUGGUGAGCCACAUCUCCAAACUUUUCCACUUUUGAUGGUGUUGCCAACUAAUAUACAACACUCUCACGAAUUUUUUCAAUUUCUACUCCAAUGACAUCCAAACCUUCCUUCACAAUUAAGUUCAAGACAUGUGUCGCACAUCGCAUGUGAAAAUUUUUUUAAUUCAAUAAAAGUGAACCGCUCAAAGAUAAUUUCUCCACAAGGAUAUUAAGCAUUUCAUCAUUACUUGAGCAAUUAUCCACGAUAAUUGUAGAUACAUUUCUACCCAUAUUCCAAUCCAAUAAGAAAUCUAUUAGAACAUCUAAAAGAACUUUUGUGUGUGGAGGAAACACAUAAACAAACCUACAGUAAAUAAAUAUAAAAAAACAUAUAAUUAAUACAAGCGAUAUCAUUAAAGGAUCGAAUAAAAAAACACUUAUGAAGUUUAAUUGCUAACCUUACAAUAUGAUAUUGUAAUAACCAAGACUCGUCAAUGUAAUGUACAGUGAUAGUCAUGUAGCCUUUCUUCUAAUUGGAUAUCUACAUAUGUUGUAAUGGCAAUUCUACUUUCAAGUUUCUCUAAGUAGCUAAUCAUUUUCCCUUUCUCAACCUCAUAAAUCUUCAGUAUGACACCCUUAAAUUGUAUUACAGAAAACCAUCUUAAAUAAAGAUUGGAGAAUAGUAGCAAAAUCUCUAAAUCUCACAUGGUCAAUAAUUGAAAGUGCGUACUCAUGCAAUAUAAUUGCACAUGCAAGCUUCUCUCUUGAGAUAUCUUGAUCAAAAGUAAAACCACCAAUUUGAACUUUUCCAUGACCUUUUCUCUCUACUACUAAUAAUUGUUGCCUAAUAUCAACAUUUCUUUAUUUCAUACACCUAGCUAUGUGUAUAAGCAAAUGUUUUGUUUCAUUCUUACUAUCAACCUUGAGUUUUUCUUUACAAUGCUUAUAAAUAGCAUAAUUUUAUCCAUCUACUAUGACUUUCUCAAAAUCAUUUCAAACAACUUAUGUCAACUUUCCUUUUUUAGAUGCCAAUGUUUCAUUAGUAGUUGAAGUACUACUUAUAACUGGAUUUGAACUAGCACUUGCAAUGGAAAAAAAUUUCCCUUCUUUGGAUGUCAUUUUUUUUUAAUAUGAAAUAAAACCUAUAAUUAAAACAUUCAAACUGGUCACAUUCUAACCAAUCAAUGGCUCUUAUUUACAUUCAAACCAACCCAUGUAAAUCCCACACAGAUAAGCCUUUGUUACCUUGAAAUAAUCUUAUAUAAGUGUUACAAAAGAACGAAAACAAGCAAUAAGAAACAAACAGAAUAAGAACACACAUUUAAGUGAAAAACCCUAGAUGAGGAAAACCAUGGACAGAGGAGAAGAAAAAAUCAACUAUGUCAAAAAUUGGUAUUAAAUGGGAGAAAUGUGAGCAACUACUACAUAGGCAUAAACAUCAUAAUUUAGCUUCACAUAUUGAACCAAAUAGAAUUCGAGUCACCAAACUCUAACAAUAAGAAAUAGAAAAAAAAAAAACAUAUCAUCCCAAGAAAUAGCAAAAUAAAAAUGGGUACAAAUUUUGAAAUUACAUAGAGCAAUGUGAAAAAUCCUUCUAAGAGCAUAAAAUAGAGAAAUAAGAAUCCAUCAAUUUAAUAUUCUCUUUUUCAAACAUAGAACAAAAAUUAUGAUUCAAACUUUCAAUUCAUUUCCAUUCUUUUCCCACACUUUCUCAAAAACCAAACAAAAUAAAGAAAAAAAAUAAAAAAAAAGGAUACAAUAUAAUGGUGCAAUACAUAUAAAUAUGGAGCUACUAAAUUCCAAAUAGCACUAAAAAGAAAUCUAUGGGAAAUGGAAAAUUUGAAAAUAAAUAUGAAAAAAUAAAUUACCAAAAAAAUGAAUAUGAAUUUGAAACUAGGGUUAGCGCAAAGAAGAAAAUUUUAUGAUUGAUGAGUUGAUAAAGGGGAGAUAAAAUCAUUCAUUGCUUCCAUGCAUGUGAAGCCACAAAAUCAAAUGGUUUUGGCUUUGCCAACAAGAGAUUACAUGGAGAUUUCAAGCAAGAAACAAGAAAGAGGAAUAUGUACAAGCAAAACCUUGAAAUUUAGGGUUUCCUUAACUAGAAAAGAUGAAUCCAAACAAAAUCAAAGACCUUAGUCCUUGAACUUUAGUACCCAAAGUGAGCAUAGGCUUAGUUUUCUUCAUCUUUUGAGAAAGCAGAAAAUGAAUCCGGAGGGAUCAUCUUCUUAAGAAAAUGUAAGGCCUAUCUCUGCUUCUCUCUUAAUGGUGAAUCUCUAAGUUAGAAAAUUUUUGAAUUUGGAAAAUCAGUCCUGGGAAAAAGAUGUCUAAGAAGAGAAGAUGUUUAAAUAAAGGGAGAGGA